AACGUAACGGAAGGAGGUGAUCCAGUGUCUCAUUGUCUCAUGCUGCGGGCCCGGACCUGGACUCGCGCCUUUGAGGUUCUCGCCUCCUAAGGUGAUCAGGCAUCGCGCACCGCGGUGUGACAAUGGAAGGGCUGUCCUAUCGGGCGGCCCU
This 151-nucleotide small RNA is filed under the name Methylocella tundrae. Its description in RNAcentral is "caulobacter sRNA CC2171". It matches the Rfam family "caulobacter sRNA CC2171". Lineage: Bacteria; Pseudomonadati; Pseudomonadota; Alphaproteobacteria; Hyphomicrobiales; Beijerinckiaceae. The record is from Rfam by way of RNAcentral.